RNAcentral lists this long non-coding RNA (1261 nucleotides) under Homo sapiens (human). RNAcentral's name for it is "HSALNT0352672". The record is from RNAcentral. Lineage: Eukaryota; Metazoa; Chordata; Mammalia; Primates; Hominidae.
CUGGGAUUCUCUUCCUGUUGGCUUUAUUCCCUCCCGCUGAGGACCAACUUCUUCCACCGGCUGGAGGAUAUUACAUCUCUCAGUUACUGUCACGGGAGAGUGAGUGCCCCUUUUCCAGUAGUUUCUAUUAAGAAAAGGAAAUCCCAAAGAGGGCCCUGAUCAGACUGGUAUUUGGACCUAAGAGCCACGAGUAGGGAUGGGAGCUGUAAAGCAGAGCCACCUGGCACAGGCUUGUUCCUGCUGGUUCCAGAUAAUGACUUAAAUCACUGUUGGCUGUCAGUAAGUCCGGGUUGGUGGAUUGACAUUGAUGUAGUCCAGCUCUGCUUCCAGAACCAGGGGGAUCUGUUUGUAAACCAGGAUACCUCUUCCCCAAGACAAUGCCUAGAAAUAAUGCCUCUGUUGUUUUUCUGACCUCUUGCUUCCUGGAGUUUCUCUGAAGGGCAUUUCUCUUAAUGGACUUGUUCUUUUUGCUACAGCUAAUAUCUAGAGGAAUAUCCAUGUUGAUUUCCCAUAUUUUUAUUCUCAAAAGACCACCUUAUUUCAAAUUUGGGGAGCACAUAAUGUACUCUCUAUCACUUAAAAAUUGAUUGUUGCCCUGUUUUUUGGAUUUUUUUUUUAAGGGGGUGAGGGAAGGAGAAGGCAAUCACAAAGAGUUGGUGUGCAUUGACAACGUACUCAGAAGAUUAUGUUCCACCAUAUGAUUAUCAGCCACAUGCUUAUCCCUGUCAAGAUGAUUAUUCCAUAGUCCACAGAAAAUGCCGUUCUCAGUUCACGGAUCUAAAUGGUUCUAAAAGAUUUGGCAUCAACACUUGGCAUGAUGAGAGUGGGAUUUAUGCUAAUUCAGAUGUAAAACAGAAACUCUAUCCCUUGACUAGUGGGCCUAUUGUGCCAAUUUAAAAAUAAUGUAUAGAAUCAGCAUCUCUGACUAAUGAAAAAUGGAUGUAGCAGUUGAUGAUUUUCUAUCUUAAUAAAUGCAAUGGAAGUGUUACUAUAGUAGAUUCCUUUAAGCAGAAAGUCUUAUUUUCUGGACCAGUGUUUAUAUCCUUAUUUUCAUAAGCUACUCUGGUAUUUUCCGAAGUUUAUUGUGUGUCUUGCUGAGAGCAUGCUACACAAUUCUAGAUGGUAUUUAGUGAAACAUUAUUUUAUGGAUUAUGUAUUUGUUUUAAUAAUUAUUAGAAAAACACAUAAAACUAGCACAGUCAAGGUUAUGAUUGCUUAGGGUGUGGCUAAUUAUAAAAAAGUAGGCCAACUUAAAUUCCAC